This 496-nucleotide ribosomal RNA is filed under the name uncultured bacterium. RNAcentral describes it as "partial 16S ribosomal RNA". It matches the Rfam family "Bacterial small subunit ribosomal RNA", at positions 28 to 507 of the family's 1533-position model. The record is from RNAcentral.
GACGAACGCUGGCGGCGUGCCUAAUACAUGCAAGUUGAGCGCUGAAGGUUGGUACUUGUACCAACUGGAUGAGCAGCGAACGGGUGAGUAACGCGUGGGGAAUCUGCCUUUGAGCGGGGGACAACAUUUGGAAACGAAUGCUAAUACCGCAUAAAAACUUUAAACACAAGUUUUAAGUUUGAAAGAUGCAAUUGCAUCACUCAAAGAUGAUCCCGCGUUGUAUUAGCUAGUUGGUGAGGUAAAGGCUCACCAAGGCGAUGAUACAUAGCCGACCUGAGAGGGUGAGCGGCCACAUUGGGACUGAGACACGGCCAAACCCCCUACGGGAGGCAGCGGUAGGGAAUCUUCGGCAAUGGACGAAAGUCGGCCGGAGCAACGCAGCGGGAGGGAAGAAGUUUUGCGGAUCGUAAAACUUUGUGGUUAGAGAAGACCUAGGGGGAGAGUAAAAGGUAGAGCAGUGACGGUAUCUAACCAGAAAGGGACGGCUAACUACGUG